This 503-nucleotide ribosomal RNA is filed under the name uncultured bacterium. RNAcentral's name for it is "partial 16S ribosomal RNA". It matches the Rfam family "Bacterial small subunit ribosomal RNA", at positions 30 to 523 of the family's 1533-position model. The record is from RNAcentral.
AUUGAACGCUGGCGGCAGGCUUAACACAUGCAAGUCGAGCGGGGUGAUGGUGCUUGCACUAUCACUUAGCGGCGGACGGGUGAGUAAUGCUUAGGAAUCUGCCUAGUGGUGGGGGACAACAUCUCGAAAGGGAUGCUAAUACCGCAUACGUCCUACGGGAGAAAGCAGGGGAUCACUUGUGACCUUGGGCUAAUAGAUGAGCCUAAGGUGGAUUAGCUAGUUGGUGGGGUAAAGGCCUACCAAGGCGACGAUCUGUAGCGGGUCUGAGAGGAUGCUCCGCCACCCUGGUACGCAGACACAGCCCAGACUCCUUCGGGAGGCAGCAGUGGGGCUUAGUUGACAAUGUGGGGAACCCUGAUCCAGCCAUGCCGGGUGUGUGAAGAAGGCCUUAUGGUUGUAAAGCACUUUAAGCGAGGAUGAGGCUCUUUUGGUUAAUACCCAAGAUGAGUGGACGUUACUCGCAGAGUAAGCACCGGCUAACUCUGUGCCAGCCGCCGCGGUAA